UACAGAGGUCUCAAGCGUUGUUCGGAAUUACUGGGCGUAAAGCGCGCGUAGGCGGACCUGCAAGUCGGGGGUGAAAGCCCGAGGCUCAACCUCGGAACUGCCUUCGAUACUGCGGGUCUCGAGUCCGGGAGAGGUGAGUGGAAUUCCUAGUGUAGAGGUGAAAUUCGUAGAUAUUAGGAAGAACACCAGUGGCGAAGGCGGCUCACUGGCCCGGUACUGACGCUGAGGCGCGAAAGCGUGGGGAGCAAACAGG
Molecule: ribosomal RNA, 253 nt
Filed under: uncultured bacterium
Lineage: Bacteria
Description: partial 16S ribosomal RNA
Rfam family: Bacterial small subunit ribosomal RNA
Source: RNAcentral